This 72-nucleotide transfer RNA is filed under the name Kwoniella mangroviensis CBS 8507. RNAcentral's name for it is "tRNA-Pro (TGG) (tRNA-Pro-TGG-2-1)". It matches the Rfam family "tRNA". From Rfam's summary of the family: Transfer RNA (tRNA) molecules are approximately 80 nucleotides in length. The record is from RNAcentral. Lineage: Eukaryota; Fungi; Basidiomycota; Tremellomycetes; Tremellales; Cryptococcaceae.
GCGUUGUUGGUGCAGUGGUAGCAUGCCUCAUUUGGGUUGAGGUGGUCCUCAGUUCGAUCCUGGGACGACGCC